This 1661-nucleotide long non-coding RNA is filed under the name Gossypium barbadense (sea-island cotton). RNAcentral's name for it is "long non-coding RNA (GBAR_LNC021929)". Lineage: Eukaryota; Viridiplantae; Streptophyta; Magnoliopsida; Malvales; Malvaceae. The record is from RNAcentral.
UUUUUUUGGGCUUACCUAAUGUGGGCCUAAUGAUUGGGCCCAAUGGGUGGGCAUGUAGGGUUGGAUAAUUGGGUUUUAAAUAAUUUAAUUUUGGACUUGUUUGGGCUUUGGCCCAUUGUUUUGUUUUGUUUUUUGUUUUGUAUGUUUUAAAAAUAUUAAUAAAACAAUAAUAAAUCAGAAAAAAAUAAAAAAAUAAAAAUUACAUUCGAACCCCUAAAAUUUCUAAAAAUUACAUUUUAGCCCCAUAUUUUUAUAAAAUUACAUUUUUACCCUGAAAACUUUACACCCUUUACAAUUUGGUCCUCUUGGACAUGUCAAAUCUGCCAGUCGGCAGCCAAGCGUGCUCCACCCACCUCCAGCUACUCCAGCAGCCUCCCUAGGCCAAUGAUGCUCCCCUACCGCCUGAAAACAAAGGAAAGAAGACAAAAUUGAAAGGAUUUAAAAGAGGGAGAUGAAAGGAAGAAGGGGGGAUUUUCGGCAGCCAAGGAAAGCAAAAAAAAAACAACAAAAUCAAGCAAAAAACAGCAGCAAAAAGCCCCACGCCUCCGCGUCCACCGCCGUCCCUCACCACCGGCCGUCGUUCCCCCAUCCACCAAAGACAAAGAAAGCCAAUAAAUAAAUAAAAAAGCAAAGUCAAAGAAAAAAACAGCAAGCAAAAAGCAAAAAAAACAAGCAAAGAAGAAAAAGAGAAGAGAAGAGGAGAGCUUCACCGUGCGCCACCGCUGAUCGCCGCGCCAGGCUGGGGGGUGCACCGUCGGGGCUGAACGGAGAAGAAAGAAAAAAGAAAAGAAGAAAGAAAGAAGAAACAGAGAAGAAAGAAGAAAAAAAAAGAAAGAAAAAAGGGGAAAGAAAAAAGGGGAAAGAAAAAUAAAAAAUAAUAUAUCGGGUCGACCCGAACCGGAUUCAACCCGCGACCCGACCCAACAGGACCAGCAGUAGUAGGUCAGCCCAAAAAAAAAACCAAAAUAGAAAAAGAAGCAGCAGAAAAAAAGAAAGAAAGAAGCAGAAAAAAGAAGAAGAAAGAAGCAGUCCAGCAGCAGGCCCAGUGCAGCAGUCCAGCAGCUUCAGCCCAAUAGCAGCAGACCAGUGCCCAGCAGCUCAUAAGUAGCGGCCCACUUCCUGGCAGCCCAUAAGUAGCGGCCCAACAGCAAAAAAGUAAAAAGAAAAGGCCCAUUCUUCAACUCCAUUAUUUUGGGCUUUUGGGUAAAUUUUUUAUCCAUUUAUUUUAGUCCAUUUAUUUAAAUAUUGUAUUAUUUCAAUUAAAUUAGCAUUUUUAAAAUAGUUUUUUUUAGAAAUAUUGUUACAUUUAUUUUACUCGUAUUUUAAAAAAAAAUAUAUUUAAUGCAUAAGUCAACGAACCGAUUUAAUUUUAAGUCAUCGAAUUCAUUGCUAUGUUGGGUGAAUAUCGAUUGCUCGUGUUAAAUACGGGACGCCCUUCUAAAAAUCGAAAAUAUUCAAAAUUCCUCGUAUUUUAAUAAAAAUUCUUGUGUUUUAUUAGAAUCCCGAUUAAAUAUUAAAUUGAAUUUAUUUAACACUAAUUCGAUGGUUUCAUCGCCAUGUUGGGGUGAAUACCAUCGAUUCAUGUUAAAUACGGUAUUUUUAAAAAAAAUCGUGUUUCAAAAAUUUUCAUGUCUUCAAAAUUUCUCGUGUUUCAAAAUAAU